AGAGUUUGAUCAUGGCUCAGGAUGAACGCUGGCGGUCUGCUUAACACAUGCAAGUCGAACGGAAGUAGCAAUACUUUAGUGGCGGACGGGUGAGUAACGCGUGAGAAUCUACCUUCAGGACGGAGACAACAGUUGGAAACGACUGCUAACCCCCGAUGUACCGCAAGGGCAAAUAUUUAUAGCCUGAAGAAGAGCUCGCGUCCGAUUAGCUAGUUGGGGGGGUAAAAGCCCACCAAGGCGACGAUCGGUAGCUGGUCUGAGAGGACGAUCAGCCACACUGGGACUGAGACACGGCCCAGACUCCUACGGGAGGCAGCAGUGGGGAAUUUUCCGCAAUGGGCGCAAGCCUGACGGAGCAAGACCGCGUGGGGGAGGAAGGCUCUUGGGUUGUAAACCCCUUUUCUCUGGGAAGAACAAAAUGACGGUACCAGAGAUCAGCUCGAUCCGGUC
This 450-nucleotide ribosomal RNA is filed under the name uncultured cyanobacterium. RNAcentral's name for it is "bacterial SSU rRNA". It matches the Rfam family "Bacterial small subunit ribosomal RNA", at positions 8 to 502 of the family's 1533-position model. The record is from RNAcentral. Lineage: Bacteria; Bacillati; Cyanobacteriota.